Molecule: ribosomal RNA, 626 nt
Filed under: uncultured Lachnospiraceae bacterium
Lineage: Bacteria; Bacillati; Bacillota; Clostridia; Lachnospirales; Lachnospiraceae
Description: bacterial SSU rRNA
Rfam family: Bacterial small subunit ribosomal RNA
Source: RNAcentral
AUAUGUAAGUUAGUGGCGGACGGGUGAGUAACGCGUGGGUAACCUGCCUUGUACUGGGGGACAACAGUUGGAAACGACUGCUAAUACCGCGUAAGCGCACAGCUUCGCAUGAAGCAGUGUGAAAAACUCCGGUGGUACAAGAUGGACCCGCGUCUGAUUAGCUGGUUGGUGAGGUAACGGCCCACCAAGGCAACGAUCAGUAGCCGGCCUGAGAGGGUGAACGGCCACAUUGGGACUGAGACACGGCCCAAACUCCUACGGGAGGCAGCAGUGGGGAAUAUUGCACAAUGGGGGAAACCCUGAUGCAGCAACGCCGCGUGAGUGAAGAAGUAUUUCGGUAUGUAAAGCUCUAUCAGCAGGAAAGAAAAUGACGGUACCUGACUAAGAAGCCCCGGCUAACUACGUGCCAGCAGCCGCGGUAAUACGUAGGGGGCAAGCGUUAUCCGGAUUUACUGGGUGUAAAGGGAGCGUAGACGGUUUUGCAAGUCUGAAGUGAAAGCCCGGGGCUUAACCCCGGGACUGCUUUGGAAACUGUAGAACUAGAGUGCAGGAGAGGUAAGUGGAAUUCCUAGUGUAGCGGUGAAAUGCGUAGAUAUUAGGAGGAACACCAGUGGCGAAGGCGGCUU